This 339-nucleotide RNase P RNA is filed under the name bovine gut metagenome. RNAcentral's name for it is "Bacterial RNase P class A". It matches the Rfam family "Bacterial RNase P class A". From Rfam's summary of the family: Ribonuclease P (RNase P) is a ubiquitous endoribonuclease, found in archaea, bacteria and eukarya as well as chloroplasts and mitochondria. Its best characterised activity is the generation of mature 5'-ends of tRNAs by cleaving the 5'-leader elements of precursor-tRNAs. The record is from RNAcentral.
GUCGGAUAAUCGCGCCGUAAAAGGUGAGGAAAGUCCGUGCAUCCAAGGACAGACCGCCGGAGAAAUUCCGGACCGCGUGAGCGGGUGGAACAGGACCACAGAAAGACACAGCCGAUGGAUUUUUAAUCACAGGCAAAGGUGCAAUGGUGAGGUAAGAGCUUACCGGCUGUACUGAGAAGUGCAGACCAGGCAACCCCCGGUCGGAUGCAAGAUUAAAACAAGCGUUUGAGGUGUCCGCCGAGCUUGAAAAAUCGCUAGAGAUUAGGAGUAAUCCUAAUACCAGACAGAUGAUUAUCAGGAGCGUAUACUCUGAACAGAACACGGCUUAUGAGCUGCUUU